Xenopus laevis (African clawed frog) is the source of this 1230-nucleotide long non-coding RNA. RefSeq lists it as uncharacterized. NCBI's taxonomy places the organism in Eukaryota, Metazoa, Chordata, Amphibia, Anura, Pipidae. The record is from RefSeq and is a predicted model, not a curated record. The transcript is spliced from 2 exons.
GAAGUCGUAGUCGAAGGUCGAAGUAGCCAAUUCGAUGGUCAAAGUAGCCAAAAAAAUACUUCGAAAUUCUAACUAUUUUUUAUUCUAUUCCUUCACUCAAGUAAUGUGCCCCUAGAUGUGCUUUUUGUUCAAACGUAACAUUACACUCACAAAAAAUCAUUUGGGCAAUUGUCUCAAUUUAUAUAUAAAAUUAUAGCAUAUAUAUAGCAUUUUUAUGAAAUCUUAUGUUUGUUUGAAAAAAAAAAAAACAAUAAUUGAUAUGUGCUCUGAUACAAAUAGACUGUAGUAUGAGUGUGAGAGUGGAUACACUGCUAAAAGAACUUAUAAUGUAGAGUUGGUUAAAUCCAUCUUUCAUUAGUGUCUUGAGACCAGUUUGCUGCUUUCAGUAGAUCCAACAGUAUUAAUAUGGGUCCUGCUUAAUGCCAAUGAAGUGCUUGAAAAUUUACCACUCGUGGCUAGAGGACUACUAGUAUAGUCUAAUGUACUUGCAAGACCUUUACUAAAAGAUGUCAACAUUGUCACUAUAAAUUCCCACUAACCUACAUCUGAAUGCUCCCAUGUUCCUAACUGGCAUACUAUUACCUCAGGGACUCUACCCCAAAAUCUCACUUAUUGUCGGGCAAUAGAUUAUCUUUGCUAACUAGUUUCUCUAUCUCGCACUCCUAGACUGAGCUUACACCCAAUUCUAGCCACUUACUAGUCAUGAAGGAAGGAAGGUCUCCCACCUGGUCAUGGGAGUUCUUCAAUCCUGCCUCUGGAUGUUCUUAGGCCAAAGAGUAGUGCACAGAUCCUGCACUCCCUCAUACAGGCUCCUGCAGGGGAAUUCCCCUAAAGACCAACCUUAGGGUUAUUAGUUUGGGGGCAACUUGCAUUUUCUGAAGGACAUUGAAUUGUAUACAUUGAAGGAAAGAGAGAAGAAAUAAUGUAAAGUCAUUCUGGUUGUUUGGCAACCUACUUUUGUUUCUUUUAGAUAGUAGUAACCUUGUCAUAAUCUACACAAAUAACUUCAUCACAUUCUAUCCAUCUUCUGCAUGGAGUUGAUUAACAAAAUUACUCUUAAUUCUUCUGUUUCAUUAAUUUGAAUUCCCACUCACUGGCACCAUGCAGAUUAAGGGCUGAUAUUUUUUAUUGUGACCCUCUUCACUGUAAGUAGCGGCAGUCCUAAUUGUGUAGUUGAUAGAACUUUAUUCAGUAUUAAAUAAAUGCAGUUUAUGCUACAAUUGUACCCAA